Mauremys mutica (yellowpond turtle) is the source of this 459-nucleotide non-coding RNA. The record is from the annotation of a RefSeq genome assembly. Lineage: Eukaryota; Metazoa; Chordata; Testudines; Geoemydidae.
AUGGGAUUUUUGCUCCUUGUAAUUUUCGCUGUAGCAGCUUUGGAAGGUGUCCGGUCCCAGGUGCAGCUGGUGGAGUCCGGAGGGGAUGUGAAAAAGCCCGGAGACUCUCUCCGCCUCUCCUGCAAAGCCUCCGGGUUCACCUUCAGCAGCUACAAUAUGAACUGGGUCCGACAGGCUCCCGGGAAGGGGCUAGAAUGGGUCGCAUUUAUUUACAGUGAUGGGUCGGGUCCAAGCUACGCUGAUGCAGUCAAAGGCCGAUUCACCAUCUCCAGGGAUAAUCCCAAGAGUGAGCUGUAUCUGCAAAUGACCGGCCUGAAGCCCGAGGACACCGCCCGCUAUUACUGUGCCCGGUCCCAAAUCCAGCUGGUCCAGUCCGGACCGAGCUUGGUGAAGCCCGGAGACAACCUUACCCUGACCUGUACCGUGUCUGUUUACAGUCACCAUUUCUUCUGGUUAUGA